GAUGAACGCAGGCGGCGUGCCUAAUACAUGCAAGUCGAGCGAACGGACGAGAAGCUUGCUUUUCUGAUGUUAGCGGCGGACGGGUGAGUAACACGUGGAUAACCUACCUAUAAGACUGGGAUAACUUCGGGAAACCGGAGCUAAUACCGGAUAAUAUUUUGAACCGCAUGGUUCAAAAGUGAAAGACGGUCUUGCUGUCACUUAUAGAUGGGUCCGCGCUGCAUUAGCUAGUUGGUAAGGUAACGGCUUACCAAGGCAACGAUGCAUAGCCGACCUGAGAGGGUGAUCGGCCACACUGGAACUGAGACACGGUCCAGACUCCUACGGGAGGCAGCAGUAGGGAAUCUUCCGCAAUGGGCGAAAGCCUGACGGAGCAACGCCGCGUGAGUGAUGAAGGUCUUCGGAUCGUAAAACUCUGUUAUUAGGGAAGAACAUAUGUGUAAGUAACUGUGCACAUCUUGACGGUACCUAAUCAGAAAGCCACGGCUAACUACGUG
Molecule: ribosomal RNA, 497 nt
Filed under: uncultured bacterium
Lineage: Bacteria
Description: partial 16S ribosomal RNA
Rfam family: Bacterial small subunit ribosomal RNA
Source: RNAcentral